GAAACAGGGAAGGUUUGAAGGAAGAGCUGGACGUUGAAGAGUAGUUCCAUUUCCAGCAAGAGGAACCUAAGGGGUUGGCAAAUCAGAGUGGAAUUUUCCUGGGAAUCCAUAUACUGAAGAAUAGAACCAGAUUUUAAUAACUUCAAAGCGGCGCCAAGUUUGUGCUUGCCCUGGCUCUUCAAAUAAGUGAGGUUUUGAAUAUUUAAGACUGAAUGAUCAGAUUUCUGGAAUACUGUUUCUGUCCUGACAGUUGAUACUCUUUGUGGUUUGGGCAGAGGCCCCUACAUGUCUGGCCCACUGCCUCCAUAUGGAAAAUUACAACUAAGACCUAUCCUUUGGGAAUGCAAAGAUAAGCUCUGCAGUACUGCAGAUUAAAGAAAAUGGAAUGUCAUUCAGAAGUCUAGAGGAAGGUCCUGUUUCUGAAAGUGAUGUACUCCAUGAACCGGAAGAGAAUUCUAAACUACUGUUUUGCGUCUUCGUUAGGACAUAAGAAGACAUGGCUUUUAUGAAGUAGGAGUGAAAAAUUAUGAAGAAAGAGCAGGUAGCAAUGGAGGGAGAGCAGAAUGAAAUAAAGAACUAUUGUGAGGAAUGCAAGGACACAUGGUGAUGUGAUGAAAAGAAGACCAGCUGUGGUCACACAACAUCUAAAAGUUAUUGAUGUUGCCAAGAAAAGAGCAAAGCCAGUUGGAACAGAUGCAAGAACCAAAGAUGUCAUCUUUCAUCAUAGAUGCAUAAAGCAAACUCUCACACUUUCAUCAAAGAUGUGUAAUUACCAGGUUCUCACAUCCAUGAAGCUUUGCCCGAACACUAUUUGUUCAGUAACGGAGUAAGAGCCUACUGUGUAACAGACUCUGUGUUGUGGACCAAGAUAAAAUGGUCAUCUCUCUCCUGUGGUCCCUUCCACACCCAGUCCCCAACUCUACCAUGCCACCUACAACAUUCUGCUGUUUGUAACCAUUAACAUUUCUGCCCUGCAACAGAAAUGUGGGGUCCUAGAGGGCAGGAUGGUAAUUUGCCCAUCUCUAUGUUCUCAGAAUCUAAUACAAAAAAAGUUUCUUGACUGAAUAAUGAAGUGCAUGAAUAAAACAUCAGCAGAUUGACCAACA
Molecule: long non-coding RNA, 1106 nt
Filed under: Homo sapiens (human)
Lineage: Eukaryota; Metazoa; Chordata; Mammalia; Primates; Hominidae
Description: HSALNT0348762
Source: RNAcentral